CUACAUGAAGCUGGAAUCGCUAGUAAUCGCGAAUCAGAAUGUCGCGGUGAAUACGUUCCCGGGUCUUGUACACACCGCCCGUCACACCAUGGGAGUCGGAAAUGCCCAAAGUCAGUGACCUAACCGAAAGGGAGGAGCUGCCGAAGGUGGAGCCGGUAACUGGGGUGAAGUCGUAACAAGGUAGC
RNAcentral lists this ribosomal RNA (185 nucleotides) under uncultured bacterium. RNAcentral describes it as "partial 16S ribosomal RNA". It matches the Rfam family "Bacterial small subunit ribosomal RNA", at positions 1316 to 1500 of the family's 1533-position model. The record is from RNAcentral.